Molecule: ribosomal RNA, 486 nt
Filed under: uncultured bacterium
Lineage: Bacteria
Description: bacterial SSU rRNA
Rfam family: Bacterial small subunit ribosomal RNA
Source: RNAcentral
GAUGAACGCUGGCGGCGUGCCUAAUACAUGCAAGUCGAACGAGGUGCUUGAGUAGCAAUACAAGAGUAUCCUAGUGGCGAACGGGUGAGUAACGCGUGGAUGACCUGCCCCAAAGUGUGGGAUAACAGUCCGAAAGGAUUGCUAAUACCUCAUGUGGUUAUCGGAUUUAGAAACUGAUAACUAAAGCAGCAAUGCGCUUUGGGAGGGAUCUGCGUCCCAUCAGCUAGUUGGUGAGGUAACGGCUCACCAAGGCGACGACGGGUAGGGGACCUGAGAGGGUGGCCCCCCACAAUGGAACUGAAACACGGUCCAUACACCUACGGGUGGCAGCAGUAGGGAAUAUUGCUCAAUGGGCGAAAGCCUGAAGCAGCAACGCCGCGUGUGCGAUGAAGGCCUUCGGGUCGUAAGCACUUUUCUACGAGAUGAGAAAGGACAGUAUCGUAGGAUAAGUCUCGGCUAACUACGUGCCAGCAGCCGCGGUAAAGU